GUCCACGCCGUAACGAUGGUCACUAGGUGUAUGGGUAUCGACCCUCAUGUGCCGCAGCUAACGCAAUAAGUGACCCGCCUGGGAGUACGGCCGCAAGGUUGAACUCAAAGGAAUUGACGGGCCCGCACAAGCGGUGGAGCAUGUGGAUUAAUACGUCACUAACCGUAGAACCUUACCCAGGCUUGACAUCCCCGGAAGCCCUCUGAAAGGAGGGUGUGCCUCGCAAGAGGAGCCGGGAGACAGGUGUUGCAUGGCUGUCGU
RNAcentral lists this ribosomal RNA (261 nucleotides) under uncultured bacterium. RNAcentral describes it as "partial 16S ribosomal RNA". It matches the Rfam family "Bacterial small subunit ribosomal RNA", at positions 793 to 1055 of the family's 1533-position model. The record is from RNAcentral.